Molecule: non-coding RNA, 146 nt
Filed under: Pan troglodytes (chimpanzee)
Lineage: Eukaryota; Metazoa; Chordata; Mammalia; Primates; Hominidae
Source: Rfam by way of RNAcentral
GCUAGGUAUGGUGGUGCACGCCUAUAGUCCCAGCUACUGGGGAGGCUGAGGUAGGAGGAUCGCUUGAGCUUGGGAGGUCGAGGUCGCAGUGAGCAGAUGGUGCCACUGCAGUCUAGCCUGGGCAACAGAGUGAGACCCUAUCUCAA